UCAAGAGAUCACGACCACAACCGUCGAAGUUUUUUGCACGUUUUCCACGUGGUUACGAACGUUUAAUUCAGUGUUUAACACUAAGUGAUACGGCUGAUUGGCCGAAUUCUAAUCUUGACGAGGGAAUGCUGGAGAACUGUCUGACGGUCAGCUACUCCUGACAGCAAAGCAGUGAAACACCUCCAGCUGUGUGCACUGAAAGAAGUAAACCUCAAAGCAGGAAAUGUGAUGGUCAGAAGUGGGCAAGUUUAAAUGACUGAGUGUUAUCAUACAAGAAAGGUUCAAUUGUAGGGUCAUUGGAGGACAGAGCCUAUACAACAAGCAGUGGCCUCAAUGCAGGAUCCAGCCCUGGACAGGGUGUCAGUCCAUCAAUUAACACACACACUGGCACACGAGGAAAACCAAAGACAAACUCCUCUUAGACAUACCAUUCCAUCUGGCUCUCUUGACGUCACUUCCAGGACC
Long non-coding RNA from Polypterus senegalus (gray bichir), 465 nucleotides. RefSeq lists it as uncharacterized. The transcript is spliced from 4 exons. The record is from RefSeq and is a predicted model, not a curated record. Lineage: Eukaryota; Metazoa; Chordata; Cladistia; Polypteriformes; Polypteridae.